CCCUUAGAUGUUCUGGGCCGCACGCGCGCUACACUGACGAAUGCAACGAGCUUAUAACCUUGGCCGAAAGGUCUGGGUAAUCUCCAAAUUUCGUCGUGAUGGGGAUAGAUUAUUGCAAUUAUUAAUCUUCAACGAGGAAUGCCUAGUAAGCGCAAGUCAUCAGCUUGCGUUGAUUACGUCCCUGCCCUUUGUACACACCGCCCAUCGCUCCUACCGAUUGAAUGGUCCGGUGAAGCGUUCGGACCGUGGCCUUUGGACGGUUCGCCGUCUGUUGGCUGCGGGAAGUUCGUUAAACCUUAUCAUUUAGAGGAAGGAGAANUCGUANCA
Molecule: ribosomal RNA, 327 nt
Filed under: uncultured eukaryote
Lineage: Eukaryota
Description: partial 18S ribosomal RNA
Rfam family: Eukaryotic small subunit ribosomal RNA
Source: RNAcentral